CUUGGUUCAACUGGAGAAGUAAUAAACAGACCAGUAAGAUGAACACUAAAGAAGAUUUUUGCCAGAUGAAAGGAAUUCCAUUGGUAACAGUCAUGAACACAAAUUGACAACUGCUAUUUGAAUCGCCUUAAGUUGUAAUAUCUCUUCAUGGCAGUUGCAGAACAGAUGAAAAAGAAACUAUCAAACAGUUCAAAGAAGAAUUACAGAAAACUGAGGAAGAAAAUAAAAUGUGAUAUUGAACUUUUGAUACAAACAAAUUUUUAAAUGAUAACAGUUGCAUAUCUUGUUUAUUUUGGAUUUUCAACAUAUGUAUAUUCAUUACAGUUUUCAAUGUUUAAAACAUCAGCAAAAACAUUAAGAGCUUUUAUUAUGAAGCAAGCAAAACAAACAGCUUGACUGAUAGAAAGAGAUAGAUGUUGCAAGCUGACAAAAUGUAUUUUUAGCAUAUUUUAAAGGACCAUUUGUUUAGUCUUUUGUGUCUUAAUUCAAAUAAAAUAAUUAAAAAGAAA
Molecule: long non-coding RNA, 509 nt
Organism: Ruditapes philippinarum (Manila clam)
Lineage: Eukaryota; Metazoa; Mollusca; Bivalvia; Venerida; Veneridae
Exons: 2
Source: RefSeq, a predicted model, not a curated record